GACGAACGCUGGCGGCGUGCUUAACACAUGCAAGUCGAACGGUGAAGGGACCGGUUUUUGCUGGUUCUGGAUGAGUGGCGAACGGGUGAGUAACACGUGAGUAACCUGCCCCCCUCUUCUGGAUAACCGCAUGAAAGUGUGGCUAAUACGGGAUAUUCUGCGCCUGCUGCAUGGUGGGUGUGGGAAAGAUAUUGUUUCGGUGGGGGAUGGGCUCGCGGCCUAUCAGCUUGUUGGUGGGGUGAUGGCCUACCAAGGCGGUGACGGGUAGCCGGCCUGAGAGGGUGGACGGUCACACUGGGACUGAGACACGGCCCAGACUCCUACGGGAGGCAGCAGUGGGGAAUAUUGCACAAUGGGCGCAAGCCUGAUGCAGCGACGCCGCGUGAGGGAUGGAGGCCUUCGGGUUGUAAACCUCUUUCGCCAGUGAAGCAGGCCUGUCCCUUUUGUGGGUGGGUUGACGGUAGCUGGAUAAGAAGCGCCGGCUAACUACGUG
RNAcentral lists this ribosomal RNA (493 nucleotides) under uncultured bacterium. Its description in RNAcentral is "partial 16S ribosomal RNA". It matches the Rfam family "Bacterial small subunit ribosomal RNA", at positions 28 to 507 of the family's 1533-position model. The record is from RNAcentral.